This 1907-nucleotide ribosomal RNA is filed under the name human gut metagenome. RNAcentral's name for it is "bacterial LSU rRNA". It matches the Rfam family "Bacterial large subunit ribosomal RNA", at positions 3 to 1991 of the family's 2925-position model. The record is from RNAcentral.
UCAAGCUGAAAAGAGCGCAAGGGGAAUGCCUUGGCAUCAGGAGCCGACGAAGGACGUGACAAGCUGCGAUAAGCCACGGGGAGGAGCAAAUAUCCGUUAUAUCCGUGGAUUUCCGAAUGGGGGAACCCGCUCAAGCAAUACUUGAGCAUCGUGCGUUGAAUCAAAUAGGCGUACGAAGGGAACGGCCUGAACUGAAACAUCUAAGUAGGGCCAGGAAAAGACAUCAACCGAGAUUCCGCUAGUAGUGGCGAGCGAACGCGGAGGAGGCCAAACCGAGGGACGCAAGUUCUUCGGGGUUGCGGACAGACAUCAAGACCAGAGGUAAUUAAGAGAACGGCGUGGGAAAGCCGGCCAUAGAAGGUGAGAGCCCUGUAUCUGAAAAUGAAGACUGGCAGUCUGGAUCCAGAGUACCGCGGGACACGUGAAACCCCGUGGGAAACCGGGUGGACCACCAUCCAAGCCUAAAUACUACCUGAUGACCGAUAGAGGAGCAGUACCGUGAGGGAAAGGUGAAAAGGACCCCGGGAGGGGAGUGAAAGAGAACCUGAAACCUUGUGCUUACAAGCAGUCAAAGCACGUUAAAGUGUGAUGACGUACUUUUUGUAGAACGGUCCGGCGAGUUAUAGUAACGAGCAAGCUUAAGGUAUUCAGUACCGGAGGCGAAGCGAAAGCGAGUCUGAAUAGGGCGCAUGAAGUUCGUUGCCAUAGACCCGAAACCGGGUGACCUACGCAUGAGCAGGUUGAAGUGGGGGUGAAACCCCAUGGAGGACCGAACCAACCCCCGUUGCAAUGGUGGUGGAUGACUUGUGCGUAGCGGUGAAAUUCCAAUCGAACUCGGAGAUAGCUGGUUCUCCCCGAAAUAGCUUUAGGGCUAGCGUUAGUUUAGAUUACCGGAGGUAAAGCACUGAAUGGUUUAGGGGCUGAUAAAGUUACCGACGCCUAUCAAACUCUGAAUGCCGGAUAAUUGAUGACUAGCAGUCAGACAGUGUGAGAUAAGUUUCAUUGUCAAAAGGGAAACAGCCCAGACCUACAGCUAAGGUCCCAAAUGUAUGCUAAGUGGAAAACGAUGUGGAAUUGCGAAAACAACCAGGAUGUUGGCUUAGAAGCAGCCACACAUUAAAAGAGUGCGUAAUAGCUCACUGGUCGAGUGACUCUGCGCGGAAAAUGUAACGGGGCUAAGCAUACAACCGAAGCUUAGGAUUGUCUAAAGACAGUGGUAGGGGAGCGUUCUGUAUGGGGUGAAGUCGCAGCGAGAGCAGCGGUGGACUGUACAGAAGUGAGAAUGCCGGAAUGAGUAGCGAGAAUUAUGUGGGAAUCAUAAUGGCCGAAAAUCUAAGGUUUCUUGGGGAAGGUUCGUCCGCCCAAGGUAAGUCGGGAGCUAAGCUCAGGCCGAGAGGCGUAGGCGAUGCACAUACGGUAGAAAUUCCGUAACCACCGAACUUUAAGCAUGAGGGACACUUUGAGAUAGCGGAACCCGGGCGUUGGUUGACCCGGGCGAAAGGGAGCGAAAUUAGAGUAGCGAAGUCCGCGAUGUUCGGAGGCGAGAAAAGCUCUGAGGUAUGCUAAGGUGCCCGUACCGCAAACCGACACAGGUAGAUGAGGAGAGAAUCCUAAGGCCAACGGGAGAAGGGUUGUUAAGGAACUCGGCAAAUUGACCCCGUAACUUCGGAAGAAGGGGAGCCCCCUACGGGGGGUCGCAGAGAAAUGGCCCAAGCAACUGUUUACCAAAAACACAGGUCUAUGCUAAAUCGAAAGAUGACGUAUAUGGGCUGACGCCUGCCCGGUGCCGGAAGGUUAAGAGGAGAUGUCAGGCAACGAAGCAUUGAAUUUAAGCCCCGGUAAACGGCGGCCGUAACUAUAACGGUCCUAAGGUAGCGAAAUUCCUUGUCAGGUAAGUUCUGACCCGC